Molecule: ribosomal RNA, 454 nt
Filed under: uncultured bacterium
Lineage: Bacteria
Description: bacterial SSU rRNA
Rfam family: Bacterial small subunit ribosomal RNA
Source: RNAcentral
UACGGAAGGCAGCAGUGGGGAAUAUUGCACAAUGGGCGCAAGCCUGAUGCAGCCAUGCCGCGUGUAUGAAAAAGGCCUUCGGGUUGUAAAGUACUUUCAGUCGUGAGGAAGGUGUUAAGGUUAAUAACCUUAGCAAUUGACGUUAGCGACAGAAGAAGCACCGGCUAACUCCGUGCCAGCAGCCGCGGUAAUACGGAGGGUGCGAGCGUUAAUCGGAAUUACUGGGCGUAAAGGGCACGCAGGCGGUUAAUUAAGUUGGAUGUUGAAAUCCCCGGGCUUAACCUGGGAAUGGCAUUCAAGACUGGUUAGCUAGAGUCUUGUAGAGGGGGUAGAAUUCCAUGUGUAGCGGUGAAAUGCGUAGAGAUGUGGAGGAAUACCGGUGGCGAAGGCGGCCCCUGGACAAAGACUGACGCUCAUGUGCGAAAGCGUGGGGAGCAAACAGGGAUUAGAUACC